GUCUCAAAUCGGGCAGGAAUACCCGCUGAACUUAAGCAUAUCACUAAGCGGAGGAAAAGAAACUAACCAGGAUUCCCCUAGUAGCGGCGAGCGAAGCGGGAGAAGCUCAAGAUUUGAAUCUAUGGGCAUUGCCCAUAGAGCUGUAGUCUAGAGGGGCGCGAUCAGGAGGCGUCUUUUGACCCAAGUCUCCUGGAAUGGAGCACUAUAGAGGGUGAAAGUCCCGUGUUUGGUCAGAAUGUGCGCCUUCCCUGCGAUGCGCCCUGGUCGAGUCGAGUUGUUUGGGAGUGCAGCUCAAAUAGGGUGGUAUACUUCAUCCAAAGCUAAAUAUGGACAGGAGACCGAUAGCGAACAAGUACCGUGAGGGAAAGAUGAAAAGAACUUUGGAAAGAGGGUGAAAUAGUGCUUGAAACCGCUGGGAGGAAAGCGAAUGGAGUUACUGCAAGCCUAGGGCAUCUCAAGCCGGCGUUUUGGUUGGUUCCGGUGUAGAGACUCUGGUGCUGCGCCCGUGGCGACUUUCUAUUCUUGUGGGAAGAAGUGGUUUGUUAGACCAGAAAUGUUUUUCUUUUCUUGUUUUGGAGAAAAAGUGAAGCUUUAUGGUCUUACCAUUUUUUUUCGUUGUCCAAAGAAUGAAGGCGCUGAUCAGUGAAAAAAAGAUUCGGAGAAUCCAGGUAAUGGAUUUUUAGAAUCUAGAAAAACGGGCGGAAGGGCUUUAUUCGACCCGUCUUGGAACACGGACCAAGGAGUCUAACACGUAUGCAAGUAGUAAGGUGGCAAACCUUGGAUGCGCAAUGAAAGUAAACGUAGGUGGGAUUCGUAAGAUGCACCAUCGACCGACCAGGAUCAUCAGUGAAAGGUUUGAGUAAGAGCAUAUUUGUUGGGACCCGAAAGAUGGUGAACUAUGCCUG
This 905-nucleotide ribosomal RNA is filed under the name Rhodomonas sp. CCMP768. RNAcentral's name for it is "partial Eukaryotic large subunit ribosomal RNA". It matches the Rfam family "Eukaryotic large subunit ribosomal RNA", at positions 1 to 839 of the family's 3401-position model. Lineage: Eukaryota; Cryptophyceae; Pyrenomonadales; Pyrenomonadaceae. The record is from RNAcentral.